RNAcentral lists this unclassified non-coding RNA (320 nucleotides) under uncultured Faecalibacterium sp. RNAcentral describes it as "partial contains 16S ribosomal RNA, 16S-23S ribosomal RNA intergenic spacer, and 23S ribosomal RNA". The record is from RNAcentral. Lineage: Bacteria; Bacillati; Bacillota; Clostridia; Eubacteriales; Oscillospiraceae.
CUGGAUCACCUCCUUUCUAAGGAGUCAGGCAGAUGGAAGAACAUCNAAGAUGGUCGGCCGUCUGGAACAGGUGACAGAUACAAGCNGAGUAGAUAUUGUUCGGUCUUGAGGGCCCUGAAAAGGACACUCAAAGACGUACCUUGAAAACUGAAUAAUAACUGCGAAACAAAGAUUAUAGUAAGUUCUUUUAAGAAAUAUUGCAAUUUCAAAAGGAAGGGUAACAAUAAUCUUCGUUGGCAAAAGAGAGAAUCAAGAGGAUACCAAAUGUUCUGAAAGAACGUUUGAAAGGUCAAGCGAACAAGGGCGCACGGUGAAUGCCU